Molecule: ribosomal RNA, 253 nt
Filed under: uncultured bacterium
Lineage: Bacteria
Description: partial 16S ribosomal RNA
Rfam family: Bacterial small subunit ribosomal RNA
Source: RNAcentral
GACGUAGGGCGCGAGCGUUGUCCGGAUUUAUUGGGCGUAAAGAGCUCGUAGGCGGCUUGUUGCGUCAGCUGUGAAAACCCGCAGCUCAACUGUGGGCUUGCAGCUGAUACGGGCAGGCUUGAGUUCGGUAGGGGAGACUGGAAUUCCAGGUGUAGCGGUGAAAUGCGUAGAUAUCUGGAGGAACACCGGUGGCGAAGGCGGCAUCCUGGACCGGUAUUGACGCUGAGGAGCGAAAGCCAGGGGAGCAAACGGG